This 253-nucleotide ribosomal RNA is filed under the name uncultured bacterium. Its description in RNAcentral is "partial 16S ribosomal RNA". It matches the Rfam family "Bacterial small subunit ribosomal RNA", at positions 524 to 776 of the family's 1533-position model. The record is from RNAcentral. RNAcentral also lists the same sequence under 1 other name.
UACGGAGGGUGCGAGCGUUAAUCGGAAUUACUGGGCGUAAAGCGCGCGUAGGCGGUUUGUUAAGUCAGCUGUGAAAGCCCCGGGCUCAACCUGGGAACUGCAGUUGAUACUGGCCGACUAGAGUACGAGAGAGGGAGGUAGAAUUCCAUGUGUAGCGGUGAAAUGCGUAGAUAUAUGGAGGAAUACCGGUGGCGAAGGCGGCCUCCUGGCUCGAUACUGACGCUGAGGUGCGAAAGCGUGGGGAUCAAACAGG